UACGAAGGGGGCUAGCGUUGUUCGGAAUCACUGGGCGUAAGGCGCACGUAGGCGGAUGUGUCAGUCAGGGGUGAAAUCCCGGAGCUCAACUUCGGAACUGCCUCUGAUACAGCACGUCUUGAGUUCGAGAGAGGUGGGUGGAAUUCCUAGUGUAGAGGUGAAAUUCGUAGAUAUUAGGAAGAACACCGGUGGCGAAGGCGGCCCACUGGCUCGAUACUGACGCUGAGGUGCGAAAGCGUGGGGAGCAAACAGG
RNAcentral lists this ribosomal RNA (253 nucleotides) under uncultured bacterium. Its description in RNAcentral is "partial 16S ribosomal RNA". It matches the Rfam family "Bacterial small subunit ribosomal RNA", at positions 524 to 776 of the family's 1533-position model. The record is from RNAcentral.